RNAcentral lists this long non-coding RNA (211 nucleotides) under Phaseolus vulgaris (common bean). RNAcentral's name for it is "long non-coding RNA (PVUL_LNC005303)". Lineage: Eukaryota; Viridiplantae; Streptophyta; Magnoliopsida; Fabales; Fabaceae. The record is from RNAcentral.
UGCACGGACUCAUCGGCGGCGACAGUCCAUCCACGCCAUCCGUCCUCAUCGCCUUGCACUUCAGACUCGUCCCCGGCGACUUCACCACCACCGCCGCCGUCGAAUCGCCGUUAUUGAAGGAGGACUCCAUCGCCGCACCGGCCAUGCUCCCGAUCUGGUGAGUCAUGCUCAACGCCAUUUUCGAAAUAGCAAUCGAAUUCAAAUCUUGGAU